Molecule: transfer RNA, 71 nt
Filed under: Oscillospiraceae bacterium
Lineage: Bacteria; Bacillati; Bacillota; Clostridia; Eubacteriales; Oscillospiraceae
Description: tRNA-Gly
Rfam family: tRNA
About the family: Transfer RNA (tRNA) molecules are approximately 80 nucleotides in length. Their secondary structure includes four short double-helical elements and three loops (D, anti-codon, and T loops). Further hydrogen bonds mediate the characteristic L-shaped molecular structure. tRNAs have two regions of fundamental functional importance: the anti-codon, which is responsible for specific mRNA codon recognition, and the 3' end, to which the tRNAs corresponding amino acid is attached (by aminoacyl-tRNA synthetases). tRNAs cope with the degeneracy of the genetic code in two manners: having more than one tRNA (with a specific anti-codon) for a particular amino acid; and 'wobble' base-pairing, i.e. permitting non-standard base-pairing at the 3rd anti-codon position.
Source: RNAcentral
GCGGGUGUAGUUCAAUGGCAGAAUUCCGGCUUCCCAAGCCGAUUACGGGGGUUCGAUUCCCCUCACCCGCU